This 684-nucleotide ribosomal RNA is filed under the name Bacillus sp. MO.04b. RNAcentral describes it as "bacterial SSU rRNA". It matches the Rfam family "Bacterial small subunit ribosomal RNA", at positions 73 to 744 of the family's 1533-position model. Lineage: Bacteria; Bacillati; Bacillota; Bacilli; Caryophanales; Bacillaceae. The record is from RNAcentral.
GAUGGACUGCUCCUGAUGUUGCGGCGGACGGGUGAGUAACACGUGGGUAACCUGCCUGUAAGACUGGGAUAACUCCGGGAAACCGGGGCUAAUACCGGAUGGUUGUUUGAACCGCAUGGUUCAGACAUAAAAGGUGGCUUCGGCUACCACUUACAGAUGGACCCGCGGCGCAUUAGCUAGUUGGUGAGGUAACGGCUCACCAAGGCGACGAUGCGUAGCCGACCUGAGAGGGUGAUCGGCCACACUGGGACUGAGACACGGCCCAGACUCCUACGGGAGGCAGCAGUAGGGAAUCUUCCGCAAUGGACGAAAGUCUGACGGAGCAACGCCGCGUGAGUGAUGAAGGUUUUCGGAUCGUAAAGCUCUGUUGUUAGGGAAGAACAAGUGCCGUUCAAAUAGGGCGGCACCUUGACGGUACCUAACCAGAAAGCCACGGCUAACUACGUGCCAGCAGCCGCGGUAAUACGUAGGUGGCAAGCGUUGUCCGGAAUUAUUGGGCGUAAAGGGCUCGCAGGCGGUUUCUUAAGUCUGAUGUGAAAGCCCCCGGCUCAACCGGGGAGGGUCAUUGGAAACUGGGGAACUUGAGUGCAGAAGAGGAGAGUGGAAUUCCACGUGUAGCGGUGAAAUGCGUAGAGAUGUGGAGGAACACCAGUGGCGAAGGCGACUCUCUGGUCUGUAACUGAC